Molecule: long non-coding RNA, 1190 nt
Filed under: Mytilus galloprovincialis (Mediterranean mussel)
Lineage: Eukaryota; Metazoa; Mollusca; Bivalvia; Mytilida; Mytilidae
Source: RNAcentral
GAUAAAUGGUAGUCAUUUUCUGAAAUUAAUGGUUUUGAAGUUCAUCCAAACAAACUUCAAAGCUAAAGGCAUAUUUUAACGUGAUAAGUAACUUUAUAAAACAAAAUUUGAAAAAUGAGAAAAAAUAGGGGGGCCAAAAACGGGCCUUAUCUUACCUUGUCCUUUAUAGUAAACUGAGAAAUCGGAUAAAUAAAUGGAAACAUUUAAUUUAACAAAGACUUAGAAAUUGAAAUCAUACUUAGAAAUUGAAAUCAUUAACAAUUUUAUAUAUGUUGUGUACAAGUUGUAAUGUUGUACACAUUAUAAUUUGUACAGAUUUUUUGUACAAGUUAUCAGUGUUUUAUGAACUGCUUAACACACAUGGGUGAUGCAAGCAUACAGUCUUUUGUUUCGCAUAUUUCUGUCAUAUUUUCACAACUACAUGCUACAAUCUAAUACUGGGCAUUGCUAAACAAAAUAUUAUAAGACCACAAACAGACUUUUAUGGAUAUGAAUAUGGUAUCAGGAGAAAAAUAAAAUUAGAAUUUAAAUCAUUCAGGUAUCCUCAGUUCCAUUUUGAGGACAAGGAGAAUAGCACUAAAUGUUAGGUUUAAGUAUAUAAAUUUGAAUUUAAAACACUAAACUGGUACAUUUUUGAAGAUAAACCUGUAUCACCUGGUACAAGAAGGUGUGUGUCAAAAAACUUAUAACUUGUACAAAAACCCUGUACAAAUUAUAAUUUGUACAAACUUACAUCUUGUACACAACAUAUACAUAUACAUGACGUGUUCCUCACAAGUUUCAAUGUGUUAUUACCAAUGUUAUUUCAACUAAUCGGGCGGAGCUUACGUUUUAAUUUGCAUAAUGACAGUCUACUUAAGAUGUGUGCAUUAGGAUGAUUGCCGUUAUAAUAUUAUUACUGAUUUCUAAUCACCUAUCAGUGUCAUCAAAGAAAUACUGGACACGUCAUAGGUGAGUUUAUCCUAAAACACCUAUCUAUAGAUGGACUGGUUUAUUAUAAGCGAACCGGUUAAACUCCGCCCAGUCAAGUAAAAUAAAUCGAGUAAUACUAAUUACUUAAUAUUAAAGAGUCAAUAAUUAUGUAGUUAUUAACUUGUUUACGUAACCUAUAUACAUCUCUUAAAUGUCAUUUAUCUAUAUUGUAAAUAAAACAAUAAAGUAACAAAAAGCUGCUGUUCCAACGAAUACAG